This 591-nucleotide ribosomal RNA is filed under the name uncultured Desulfosporosinus sp. RNAcentral describes it as "bacterial SSU rRNA". It matches the Rfam family "Bacterial small subunit ribosomal RNA", at positions 28 to 588 of the family's 1533-position model. Lineage: Bacteria; Bacillati; Bacillota; Clostridia; Eubacteriales; Desulfitobacteriaceae. The record is from RNAcentral.
GACGAACGCUGGCGGCGUGCSUAACACAUGCAAGUCGAACGGAGAAUWUUAAUAAGCUUGCUUAGAGGAAUUUUUAGUGGCGGACGGGUGAGUAACGCGUGGGUAACSUACCCAUAAACUCGGGACAACCCUUGGAAACGAGGGCUAAUACCGAAUAAGCUUCAGGCUUGGCAUCAAGCUUAAAGAAAAGGUGGCCUCUGAAAAUGCUACCGAUUAUGGAUGGACCCGCGUCUGAUUAGCUAGUYGGUGGGGUAAAGGCCUACCAAGGCGACGAUCAGUAGCCGGCCUGAGAGGGUGAACGGCCACACUGGGACUGAGACACGGCCCAGACUCCUACGGGAGGCAGCAGUGGGGAAUCUUCCGCAAUGGACGAAAGUCUGACGGAGCAACGCCGCGUGUAUGAUGAAGGUCUUCGGAUUGUAAAGUACUGUCUUUGGGGAAGAAUGAUUGGUUUGAAAAUAUUGAGCCAAUAUGACGGUACCCAAGGAGGAAGCCCCGGCUAACUACGUGCCAGCAGCCGCGGUAAUACGUAGGGGGCAAGCGUUGUCCGGAAUUAUUGGGCGUAAAGGGCGCGUANGCGGAUGUUUAAGU